CGGAGCGAAAUGGUGGGGGGGGAGAUUUAACACAUUGCAAGUCGUACCGGUGAAGCCAAGCUUGCUCUGUGGAUCAGUGGCGAACGGGUGAGUAACACGUGAGCAAUCUGCCCCUGACUCUGGGAUAAGCGCUGGAAACGGCGUCUAAUACCGGAUACGAGCUGCGACCGCAUGGUCAGUAGCUGGAAAGAAUUUCGGUCAGGGAUGAGCUCGCGGCCUAUCAGCUUGUUGGUGAGGUAAUGGCUCACCAAGGCGUCGACGGGUAGCCGGCCUGAGAGGGUGACCGGCCACACUGGGACUGAGACACGGCCCAGACUCCUACGGGAGGCAGCAGUGGGGAAUAUUGCACAAUGGGCGAAAGCCUGAUGCAGCAACGCCGCGUGAGGGAUGACGGCCUUCGGGUUGUAAACCUCUUUUAGCAGGGAAGAAGCGAAAGUGACGGUACCUGCAGAAAAAGCGCCGGCUAACUACGUGCCAGCAGCCGCGGUAAUACGUAGGGCGCAAGCGUUAUCCGGAAUUAUUGGGCGUAAAGAGCUCGUAGGCGGUCUGUCGCGUCUGCUGUGAAAACCCGAGGCUCAACCUCGGGCCUGCAGUGGGUACGGGCAGACUAGAGUGCGGUAGGGGAGAUUGGAAUUCCUGGUGUAGCGGUGGAAUGCGCAGAUAUCAGGAGGAACACCGAUGGCGAAGGCAGAUCUCUGGGCCGUAACUGACGCUGAGGAGCGAAAGGGUGGGGAGCAAACAGGCUUAGAUACCCUGGUAGUCCACCCCGUAAACGUUGGGAACUAGUUGUGGGGUCCAUUCCACGGAUUCCGUGACGCAGCUAACGCAUUAAGUUCCCCGCCUGGGGAGUACGGCCGCAAGGCUAAAACUCAAAGGAAUUGACGGGGACCCGCACAAGCGGCGGAGCAUGCGGAUUAAUUCGAUGCAACGCGAAGAACCUUACCAAGGCUUGACAUAUAGAGGAAACGUCUGGAAACAGUCGCCCCGCAAGGUCUCUAUACAGGUGGUGCAUGGUUGUCGUCAGCUCGUGUCGUGAGAUGUUGGGUUAAGUCCCGCAACGAGCGCAACCCUCGUUCUAUGUUGCCAGCACGUAAUGGUGGGAACUCAUGGGAUACUGCCGGGGUCAACUCGGAGGAAGGUGGGGAUGACGUCAAAUCAUCAUGCCCCUUAUGUCUUGGGCUUCACGCAUGCUACAAUGGCCGGUACAAAGGGCUGCAAUACCGUGAGGUGGAGCGAAUCCCAAAAAGCCGGUCCCAGUUCGGAUUGAGGUCUGCAACUCGACCUCAUGAAGUCGGAGUCGCUAGUAAUCGCAGAUCAGCAACGCUGCGGUGAAUACGUUCCCGGGUCUUGUACACACCGCCCGUCAAGUCAUGAAAGUCGGUAACACCUGAAGCCGGUGACCCUAACCUCUUGUGGACGGAGCUCGUUUGUUAGGUGGGAUCUCGACCCCA
This 1451-nucleotide ribosomal RNA is filed under the name Microbacterium sp. AAI13. RNAcentral's name for it is "bacterial SSU rRNA". It matches the Rfam family "Bacterial small subunit ribosomal RNA". The record is from RNAcentral. Lineage: Bacteria; Bacillati; Actinomycetota; Actinomycetes; Micrococcales; Microbacteriaceae.